ACAGAAAUAAAAUGGAAGAAACCAAAGGCUUAAACUGAAACAGAAAAAGUGAAGAGGAUGGACUCAUUUGCCUAUGUUCCUUCCUAUUCCAUAGUAUUUAACCACCUGGUUUUCUUUCCUAAGGAAGCAAGGUUUUAAGGGCAGUGUUAUAAUUUGGUCUUUUUUUGUGCCUUUUCUUUGGCACUGUGCCCAUUUAUAUAUUGUAUAAAAGUAACCUUUUAUUUUA
This is a non-coding RNA of Ceratotherium simum simum (southern white rhinoceros), 226 nucleotides long. The record is from RefSeq and is a predicted model, not a curated record. Lineage: Eukaryota; Metazoa; Chordata; Mammalia; Perissodactyla; Rhinocerotidae.